UAUAAACUAUAGCGGUGGAAUAAGAGCUUUUAUCUCUUUAGCUUUUUUUUCACCACCAGAGCGGCGCCAUUACUUCGAAUAUCUAACAUCAAACAUGAAUGAAAUUUCUCCGAUCAUAUUAUAUAGAAAAGUCCCCGUUUUCCUGAUUGUCGACUGGCGCGCCAUCUAUGCGGCCUCAUAUGGGAUGCCGCGGCGCAGCGCUCACUUACAUAGAACAUGGUGUCCACCUGUUUACGAUUUGACGUAGACAGAUAGACUCAACGGACGAAGUUGUGGGUACAAACAGUUACAGAAUAAUUCGGUUACUUGUCAGCGGAGAUCUGAUUGCCUAUAUUAUGAAUUUGCAUAAAUUUGCGCUGGGCAUACUUCCAACUGCCCAAAACCGGUCCUUAUGGCGCUCAAUGGAGGAGGUCUGUGUCCAGCAGUGGACGAUUCCCGGCUGAAAUGAUGAUGAUACUUCCAACUUGUGUUGGGCCGUGUCUAGCGGGCAGUUGUCAUAAUGGUGACACAUGACAAACACCUCCGUCCCUACGAUACGAUAGGUGAGUACCUGUGUCAACCAAAAGGGUGCCGCGCCGUGGCGCCUGUCUAGCCACUUGGUAAAGACAGGCCGCA
Molecule: long non-coding RNA, 615 nt
Organism: Manduca sexta (tobacco hornworm)
Lineage: Eukaryota; Metazoa; Arthropoda; Insecta; Lepidoptera; Sphingidae
Exons: 3
Source: RefSeq, a predicted model, not a curated record